AACGAACGCUGGCGGCAUGCCUAACACAUGCAAGUCGAACGAGACCUUCGGGUCUAGUGGCGCACGGGUGCGUAACGCGUGGGAACCUGCCCUUAGGUUCGGAAUAACUCCCCGAAAGGGGUGCUAAUACCGGAUAAUGUCUUCGGACCAAAGAUUUAUCGCCUUUGGAUGGGCCCGCGUUGGAUUAGAUAGUUGGUAGGGUAAAAGCCUACCAAGGCGACGAUCCAUAGAUGGUCUGAGAGGAUGAUCAGCCACACUGGGACUGAGACACGGCCCAGACUCCUACGGGAGGCAGCAGUGGGGAAUAUUGGAAAAUGGGCGAAAGCCUGAUCCAGCAAUGCCGCGUGAGUGAUGAAGGCCUUAGGGUUGUAAAGCUCUUUUACCCGGGAUGAUAAUGACAGUACCGGGAGAAUAAGCUCCGGCUAACUCCGUG
RNAcentral lists this ribosomal RNA (433 nucleotides) under uncultured bacterium. Its description in RNAcentral is "partial 16S ribosomal RNA". It matches the Rfam family "Bacterial small subunit ribosomal RNA", at positions 29 to 507 of the family's 1533-position model. The record is from RNAcentral.